This 67-nucleotide small RNA is filed under the name Flavobacterium croceum DSM 17960. Its description in RNAcentral is "Flavo-1 RNA". The record is from RNAcentral. Lineage: Bacteria; Pseudomonadati; Bacteroidota; Flavobacteriia; Flavobacteriales; Flavobacteriaceae.
UUAUAGCCCUGAUAGCGCCAAAUAGCUCGCAACGAAGUGAAGACUAUGGGCAAUAGCAGGAAAAUGG